This 63-nucleotide transfer RNA is filed under the name Valvata hokkaidoensis. Its description in RNAcentral is "tRNA-Tyr". The record is from RNAcentral. Lineage: Eukaryota; Metazoa; Mollusca; Gastropoda; Valvatidae.
AUUUUUGUGGCUGAAAGAUUAAGCGGUAAAUUGUAAAUUUAUUAAUGGUAACACCCUUGCGAU